This is a non-coding RNA of Podarcis lilfordi (Lilford's wall lizard), 75 nucleotides long. The record is from the annotation of a GenBank genome assembly. NCBI's taxonomy places the organism in Eukaryota, Metazoa, Chordata, Lepidosauria, Squamata, Lacertidae.
GCAUAUAGCUUUGUUGGUAGAGCAUGUGACUCUUAAUUUCAGGGUCAUAGGUUCAAGAUUCCUGCACUCCAGGCA